GACUCCGUAGUUCAGUUUGGUCAGAGCACUGGAUUCUUAAUCCAGAUGUCAUGGGUUCAAAUCCCACCGGGGCCA
Molecule: transfer RNA, 75 nt
Filed under: Candidatus Pacearchaeota archaeon CG1_02_35_32
Lineage: Archaea; Nanobdellati
Also listed under: 5 other names
Description: tRNA-Lys
Rfam family: tRNA
About the family: Transfer RNA (tRNA) molecules are approximately 80 nucleotides in length. Their secondary structure includes four short double-helical elements and three loops (D, anti-codon, and T loops).
Source: RNAcentral